GUAAUUCCGGUGAAGAUGCCGGAUACCUGCGACAGGACGGAAAGACCCCAUGGAGCUUUACUGUAGCUUGACAUUGGGUCUUGGUACUACAUGUACAGGAUAGGUGGGAGGCUUUGAAACCAGGACGCCAGUUUUGGCGGAGCCAUCCUUGGGAUACCACCCUUGUAGUACUGGGACUCUAACCAUAGGCCAUGAAUCUGGUCUUGGGACACUGUCAGGUGGGCAGUUUGACUGGGGCGGUCGCCGCCCAAAAGGUAACGGAGGCGCUCAAAGGUUCUCUCAGUACGGUCGGAAAUCGUACGUAGAGUGUAAAGGCAAAAGAGAGCUUGAUUGCAAGACAUACAGGUCGAGCAAGGAUGAAAAUCGGACUUAGUGA
RNAcentral lists this ribosomal RNA (376 nucleotides) under Clostridioides difficile. RNAcentral's name for it is "partial 23S ribosomal RNA". It matches the Rfam family "Bacterial large subunit ribosomal RNA", at positions 2044 to 2418 of the family's 2925-position model. The record is from RNAcentral. Lineage: Bacteria; Bacillati; Bacillota; Clostridia; Peptostreptococcales; Peptostreptococcaceae.